UGGGGAAUAUUGCACAAUGGGGGAAACCCUGAUGCAGCGACGCCGCGUGAGCGAAGAAGGUUUUCGAAUCGUAAAGCUCUGUCCUAUGAGAAGAUAAUGACGGUAUCAUAGGAGGAAGCCCCGGCUAAAUACGUGCCAGCAGCCGCGGUAAUACGUAUGGGGCGAGCGUUGUCCGGAAUUAUUGGGCGUAAAGGGUACGUAGGCGGUCUAUUAAGUCAGGUGUGAAAGCGUGAGGCUUAACCUCAUUAAGCACUUGAAACUGAUAGACUUGAGUGAAGGAGAGGAAAGUGGAAUUCCUAGUGUAGCGGUGAAAUGCGUAGAUAUUAGGAGGAAUACCGGUGGCGAAGGCGACUUUCUGGACUUUUACUGACGCUGAGGAACGAAAGCGUGGGUAGCAAACAGG
Molecule: ribosomal RNA, 403 nt
Filed under: Verrucomicrobiota bacterium
Lineage: Bacteria; Pseudomonadati; Verrucomicrobiota
Description: Verrucomicrobia bacterium partial 16S ribosomal RNA
Rfam family: Bacterial small subunit ribosomal RNA
Source: RNAcentral